GCCUGGGCGGGGUGCUAUAAUGCAGUCGAACGAGUUCUCGUUGAUGAUCGGUGCUUGCACCGAGAUUCAACAUGGAACGAGUGGCGGACGGGUGAGUAACACGUGGGUAACCUGCCCUUAAGUGGGGGAUAACAUUUGGAAACAGAUGCUAAUACCGCAUAGAUCCAAGAACCGCAUGGUUCUUGGCUGAAAGAUGGCGUAAGCUAUCGCUUUUGGAUGGACCCGCGGCGUAUUAGCUAGUUGGUGAGGUAAUGGCUCACCAAGGCGAUGAUACGUAGCCGAACUGAGAGGUUGAUCGGCCACAUUGGGACUGAGACACGGCCCAAACUCCUACGGGAGGCAGCAGUAGGGAAUCUUCCACAAUGGACGCAAGUCUGAUGGAGCAACGCCGCGUGAGUGAAGAAGGCUUUCGGGUCGUAAAACUCUGUUGUUGGAGAAGAAUGGUCGGCAGAGUAACUGUUGUCGGCGUGACGGUAUCCAACCAGAAAGCCACGGCUAACUACGUGCCAGCAGCCGCGGUAAUACGUAGGUGGCAAGCGUUAUCCGGAUUUAUUGGGCGUAAAGCGAGCGCAGGCGGUUUUUUAAGUCUGAUGUGAAAGCCCUCGGCUUAACCGAGGAAGCGCAUCGGAAACUGGGAAACUUGAGUGCAGAACAGGACAGUGGAACUCCAUGUGUAGCGGUGAAAUGCGUAGAUAUAUUGCAAGAACACCAUUGGCGAAGGCCGCUGUCUGGUCUGUAAACUGACACUGAGCUCGAAGCAUGGGUAGCCACACGAUUACUACCCUGGUAGUCCAUGCCGUAACGAGAAUGCUAGUGUUGGAUGGUUUCCGCCCUUCACGCCGCACUACGCAUUAGCAGUCCACUGGGAGUACUACCGCAGGUUGAACUCAAGGAAUGACGGGGUCCUU
Molecule: ribosomal RNA, 908 nt
Filed under: Lacticaseibacillus paracasei subsp. tolerans
Lineage: Bacteria; Bacillati; Bacillota; Bacilli; Lactobacillales; Lactobacillaceae
Description: bacterial SSU rRNA
Rfam family: Bacterial small subunit ribosomal RNA
Source: RNAcentral